This 73-nucleotide transfer RNA is filed under the name Melampsora larici-populina 98AG31. RNAcentral describes it as "tRNA-Ala (CGC) (tRNA-Ala-CGC-1-1, tRNA-Ala-CGC-1-2)". It matches the Rfam family "tRNA". Rfam says of the family: Transfer RNA (tRNA) molecules are approximately 80 nucleotides in length. Their secondary structure includes four short double-helical elements and three loops (D, anti-codon, and T loops). Further hydrogen bonds mediate the characteristic L-shaped molecular structure. tRNAs have two regions of fundamental functional importance: the anti-codon, which is responsible for specific mRNA codon recognition, and the 3' end, to which the tRNAs corresponding amino acid is attached (by aminoacyl-tRNA synthetases). tRNAs cope with the degeneracy of the genetic code in two manners: having more than one tRNA (with a specific anti-codon) for a particular amino acid; and 'wobble' base-pairing, i.e. permitting non-standard base-pairing at the 3rd anti-codon position. Lineage: Eukaryota; Fungi; Basidiomycota; Pucciniomycetes; Pucciniales; Melampsoraceae. The record is from RNAcentral.
GGGGUGUUAGCUCAUUUGGUAGAGCGCUCGCUUCGCAUGCGAGAGGUCCGGGGUUCGACUCCCCGAUACUCCA